AAAAAGACAAACUCUAGGUUUCCGUGUCUAACGUUUGACUGUCUGUCUUAUAUGAAAUUUUUUAUAAUUAGUAUUUUCAUUGUUAUAAAAUAUGAUUAAUACUUUAUGUGUGACUUGUCUUUUUAAUUUUUAUCAUAAUUUUUUCAAAUAAGAUGGUCGGUCAAACGUUGGACACGGAAACCUAGGGUU
Molecule: microRNA precursor, 189 nt
Filed under: Oryza sativa Indica Group (long-grained rice)
Lineage: Eukaryota; Viridiplantae; Streptophyta; Magnoliopsida; Poales; Poaceae
Description: MIR812 microRNA precursor family
Rfam family: MIR812 microRNA precursor family
Source: Rfam by way of RNAcentral